CUACGGGAGGCUCCAGUGAGGAAUAUUGCACAAUGGGGGGAACCCUGAUGCAGCAACGCCGCGUGGAGGAUGACGCAUUUCGGUGUGUAAACUCCUUUUAUAUGUCAAGAAAAUGACGGUAGCAUAUGAAUAAGCACCGGCUAACUCCGUGCCAGCAGCCGCGGUAAUACGGAGGGUGCAAGCGUUACUCGGAAUCACUGGGCGUAAAGGACGCGUAGGCGGGUUGGAAAGUCAGGUGUGAAAUCCUACAGCUUAACUGUAGAACUGCACUUGAAACUUCUAAUCUAGAGUAUGGGAGGGGGAGAUGGAAUUAGUGGUGUAGGGGUAAAAUCCGUAGAUAUCACUAGGAAUACCGAAAGCGAAGGCGAUCUCCUGGAACAUUGCUGACGCUAAGGCGUGAAAGCGUGGGGAGCAAACAGGAUUAGAUACCCUAGUAGUC
This 439-nucleotide ribosomal RNA is filed under the name uncultured bacterium. Its description in RNAcentral is "partial 16S ribosomal RNA". It matches the Rfam family "Bacterial small subunit ribosomal RNA", at positions 339 to 795 of the family's 1533-position model. The record is from RNAcentral.